CAGCCGCCGCGGUAAUACGUAGGGUGCAAGCGUUGUUCGGAAUUACUGGGCGUAAAGCGCACGUAGGCGGUUAUUCAAGUCAGAGGUGAAAGCCCGGGGCUCAACCCCGGAACUGCCUUCGAAACUAGAUGACUGGAAUCUUGGAGAGGUCAGUGGAAUUCCGAGUGUAGAGGUGAAGUUCGUAGAUAUUCUGAAGAACACCAGUGGCGAAGGCGACUGACUGGACAAGUAUCGACGCUGAGGUGCGAAAGCGUGGGGAGCAAACAGGAUUAGAGACCCCCGUAGUCCCUGUCUCUUAUAC
RNAcentral lists this ribosomal RNA (301 nucleotides) under uncultured bacterium. RNAcentral's name for it is "partial 16S ribosomal RNA". It matches the Rfam family "Bacterial small subunit ribosomal RNA", at positions 509 to 807 of the family's 1533-position model. The record is from RNAcentral.